This 291-nucleotide long non-coding RNA is filed under the name Cercocebus atys (sooty mangabey). RNAcentral describes it as "lncRNA (ENSCATG00000045451.1)". Lineage: Eukaryota; Metazoa; Chordata; Mammalia; Primates; Cercopithecidae. The record is from RNAcentral.
AAUAAAAUAAUUAUUUGUAAUAGGAACCUGAUGAGCUCGAAUAUCAGAAUGUGCUAUUAUUACUUGUAGACAUUAACUCUAUUUUUGUCUAAUAAAUAAGGGAGUGGAUUUAUUCUCUUAACAGAGAGAGCUGGAUGGCUGGAUGAAAUUUCAAAUUUCCAUUUGCAAAUCAGCAGUUUCUAAGCAUAGAGAAAAACGUAAAAUACAACAGUUGAAAAGGAUACAAAGAAACAUAGAAUAUACAAUGUUGGUGGAAGAGAAGAUUGGCACAACCACUCUGGAGAAGGUAUA